CCACAUUUUAGGUGCGGCUGGCGGGGCGGCUAGCUUGACUGUGACUUCGUAAGUGAGGGCUCACUUGACCGCAGUGUCUGAUUCCGCUUGUGCAGCGAUCAUUUCAUAUCGGGUAGGCAGAAGAGCGAUAAUCCAUAGAGUCCGGACUUUAUUCCAUCUAUUUUCAGCAACGUUCCAUCUGCAGAGAAGAGAAGAAAAAUGAGGCUGGAUGUGUUCAACAGAAGACAGAAAGCAAAGCUACAACGGAUAGAGCAAGUAAAGCUAUCUGCAGAAGGCAUCCCUCCAAGCAAGAAUCCUACUGCAGACAAAACUCCCAUCUCACAGCAUUUGAAGGACUCCACCAAUGAAGAACCUGGAAAUGAUGUCCAGCCUGUUUUCCAUGAGAAUGUUCUAUUAUGUAGCACUGAAACAUGUGGUAAAUGCCUGCAAUCUCUUGAGCAAGAAUGCCAAGCUCUGAGGACUGAAAAUGUGUUGCUGAAAGAAAAAACGAAUAACACUACCCUGAAUGAAAUGAGCUUCCAUAAUGAUGAUAAAAAGGUUUGAUAUUCUUACUGGUUUACCAACAAAUACAAUUCUCAUGACAGUUUUUCAUUUUGUGGCUGCUUUUCUCAAACUUAAAUCUUCUUUAACAUGUUUUUUGCAGUACAUGUUAACAUUAAUGGAGCUUAGAAUGAACUUGUCCUUUGACUUUUUGGCUUUUUAUUUCAAAAUUGAUUCAACCACUGUUUCAAAGCUUUUCAAACACUGUAUUAGUGUGAUGCAUUGUAGACUGGUGCCAAGUCUAGUGUUGUGGCCUGACAGAGAAUCCCUAAGACAAUCUCUUCCAUAUGCAUUUUGGAACAGCAGCUUUGAGAAGACUGUUUGCAUCAUAGAUUGUUUAGAAAUACUUCUAGAGAAACCGAGUAGAUUGCUAGCCAGUUCUCAGUGUUACUCCUCGUACAAGUCACAUCACACAGUAAAAUAUUUAAUUGCAAUUUGACCUCAAGGUUUUAUUUGUUUCAUCUCCUCUGGAGGUCACACAAGUGAUAGGUUUAUUACAGAACAAAGUAAUUUUUUUUGUCUCAUUUGCUCCCAGGUGAUGUAGUUUUAGCAGACAGGCUUUUCCUGGUUAAAGAGUCCAUUCAGAGAUUCCAAGCAGAAUUAAAGAUUCCAGCAUUUACUCGCGGAAAGAAACAGUUGGAUCCUGUUAAUUUGGAGAACACCAGAUGUCUAACUUCUCUCAGGAUACAUAUAAAAGAGUAAUAGUUCUGUCAAAAGUACGCGAUCUUGCAAAGCACUGUCCCCAUAACUUUCACAGACAUAGGUCAAGUCAUUUUUUUCUGUCUAUCUUGACAAGAUUGUUUAACGUUAACUAGUAAUGACUUCAUGAACUUCUUCACAAAUAAAAUUUUUAUCAUUAGAGAAAAAAUUACCA
Oreochromis aureus is the source of this 1414-nucleotide long non-coding RNA. RefSeq lists it as uncharacterized. The record is from RefSeq and is a predicted model, not a curated record. NCBI's taxonomy places the organism in Eukaryota, Metazoa, Chordata, Actinopteri, Cichliformes, Cichlidae. The transcript has 3 exons.